This 5441-nucleotide long non-coding RNA is filed under the name Nicotiana tabacum (common tobacco). Its description in RNAcentral is "long non-coding RNA (NTAB_LNC019066)". The record is from RNAcentral. Lineage: Eukaryota; Viridiplantae; Streptophyta; Magnoliopsida; Solanales; Solanaceae.
CCCGAUCGUGAUGGCGCCUCUCGUGAAGACAAGGCCAGCCAACCUAUUUACACAGCCUUUUUCAACAAUAUAUAAACAUGAAUUAAACAGUUUCAAAGAUAAUUUAAUAACAUUAUUUCGCGGAAUAUAACCCAAUUCAGCCCAAACCAGGGUGUCACAAGUCACGAGCAUCUAAAGAAUCUAAACACUAUUACAAGACCAGUAAUAUACAUAAUGGAAUUUAAAAUCAACGGAAGAAAUCUGGUUCCGCGAACGCUGGCGGUCACCUUGCUCAGCUAUGAUAACAAGGUAUCCAAUCAGCAUCAGAACCCACUACUGGAUGAACAAAUACCUGCAUCUACACACCAGGUGCAGGGAGUAAAGUGAGUACUCCAACUCAGUGAGUAAUAAAAGUAAAUAACAACUGAGCGGUAAGAAAUCACGUAAAACAUAUCGUCAUGCUGUAUAGAAGCAGAGAAAAAAACCAGUGAAAACUUGUGAAAAACUUUAGAAAUAUCUUGGCUCAGUUUUAAACCUCUUUUGAAAAUGAUCUUUUCAAUGGUCACCAAACAAUGCUUUCAAAACAUUUUGCGACGCUAUGCACAGAAAUCCGCCCCUCAGGCAAUACCCUUUUCCCUGGUCAGCCACUCGGGUCCCAACACUCAGUGAUCAGAUAGUACCAGAACAGUAGAUAAAUAUCUCAAGAAAACAUCACAAACAACAAUUAAUGAACAAAUGCAUGAAUGCAAUGCAAUGCAAUGCAUAUGACGGUACAUUCCAGUACCCACUGCAGCGCGUAGCCCGAGCCACCCAUAAUCAUUUAUCGUGGACGACGCUCACUGAGGAUGUGUACAGACUCCGGAGGGGCUCCUACAGCCCAAGCGCAAUAUCAAGCCAUCUCUUGGCAUCAAUCAAAUCCUGGUCAGCCAUUGUUACCUGACCUAUUUAUAUCAUACAGUGCCAUUGUUACCACUGUUUCAAAUCACUGCUCCGCCGCGCAGCCCGAGCCACCCAUAAUGUUUCAAGUCACAUCACACAGUGCCAUUGUUACCACUGUUUUAAAUUACUGCUGCGGCGCACAGCCCGAGCCACCCAUAAUCAGUCCAGAAAAACAUCAUAAGCCCCUUGGGCAUUUAUAAAAUAGUAGUUCUCAGCCCGAAAUAACAUUUAAAAAUAUCAUUUGAGUUUUCAAACUUAGAAAUAUGGAUGAGUUUGCAAAAACAGUAUUUAAAACCUUGGACUGAGACCAAAUAAUAUGCAAAAAUAUGCUAAAACAGUAAUAUCAAUCCCCGAAGGAUUUCCACAGGUUGUCACAAGGCCCCAAACAUGGCAACAAGCCCAAUAAACAUCAAUAAAGUAUGUGUAUCAAUCGCCAAUAUAGUAUAAAUAUCACUUGGGAUGGACCAAGUCACGAUCCCCAAUAGUAAACGACUCCACACUCGUCAUAGAAUGCGUGUCACACCUCAAUAUAGCGUUACGAUGUGUAAUCCGGGAUUUCAAACCCUCAGGAUAUCAUUUACAAGCAUUACUCACCUCUAGUCGGCCAAAUACUACUUCGCGAUGCCCUUUCCUCUCGUAUCGACCUCCUCACGCAUCGAAUCUGGCCAAAACCACAAUGAAUACAUUACAAUAGGCUAAGGGAAUAUAACCCAAUCGAAAAGACUUGAAAAAUAUCAAAAAUCACGAAAUUGGCAAAACCCGAGCCCCGGGCCCAUGUCUCGAAACUUAGAAAUUUUUAUACCAAAAUGUUCUUCGUCCUCUCACGAGUCCGUACAUAUAAAGAACACCAAAAUUGGAGCUCGUUUGACCCUUCAAAUCGACCCUAAAAAAUCUCAAAACCACAAGCCCUAAAACCCCACUUUUCUACUGAUUUUCAUAUUCUAAUUCACAUAUAAUCUUGCAUUUAACUUGGAAGUAAGUAGAAACAACUCACCUUUGAUGCUCGAUGAAAUCCCCCUUGAAAUUCUCUGCAAAAUCAUCCAAGCCAAAUGAAAGAAAUAAGCCAAAUCCGUGUUUAAAGAAUCUGCCCGUGCUUCGUCGACUUGUACCUUGCACUUGUGCUAUACAUGUUGUACAUCCUAUUAAAAAUUUUCCUUGUCGGACACCUUCUAUUUAAACACCCAUAACGUCUUUUUAUAAAUAUCCAAAUGACAAACAGUUUUAUUAUUUAGAAACUAGACUUAAAGAUCUUUAAUAUGAUAGGUUGUACACCAUAUAACUCUUUAUAUAUCCCGAGAUAUGAGCUUCUAAAGUCGGUUCCAUGAAAUCAGAAAAUUCUGGAGAAAGAGCUCCACCAGUCAUCUUCAAUCGACCAUAACUUUCUCUAAAUAUGUCCAAAUUACGAUUUCUUUAGCUUUCUGGAAACUAGACACGAAGGGAUACAACUUUCGUUUUUGAAUCAUCUCAAAAUUCCUUGUAUAUCAAAAGAUAUAAGCCUCCGAAGUAUGCCUCACGAUUGCUGUCCAAAGACCUUCUACAGAAAAUUGCAGCAGAAGUUUCUGCAUUUUUUCGUUUCUUUUUUGUCCGAAUUUCAUUCCGGUAACCUUCCGAAAUCCACCUGAGGCCCUCGGGACCUUAACCAAUUAUAUCAACAUGUUCCACAAUAUCAUUCAAACUUGUCCCAACCUUCGGAACACCCAAAAUAAUAUCAAAACAUCAAAUCAUCAUCAGAUUCAAGCCUAUGAAUCUCACGAACUUCCAAUUCCAUUUUUGAUCAAAAACCCAACCAAACCACGUCCGAAUGAUCUCAAAUUUUACUGAAAAGUCCAAAAUGACAUAAUGAAGCUACAACAACUCUCGGAAUUCCAUUCCGACCCUUGAAUCAAAAUCUCACAUAUCAACCGGAAUUCGGCAAAAUACUAACUUUGCCAAUUCAAGCUUAAUUCUACACCGGUCAUCACAAAUAUAUUCCGGACACACUCCUAACUCCUAAGUUCCAAAUCACCUAACGAAGCUAUCUGAACUAUAAAAUUCGCAUUUCGAUCCCUCUAACACAUAAGUCAAUAUCCGAUUGACUUUUCCAACUUAAGCUUCCUUAAAAGAGACUAAGUGUCUCAAAACUUACCAAAAUCAUUUCGGAAUGACUUCAAAUUUUGCACACAAGUCACAUUCGACAUUACAGACUUGCACCAAUUUUCAGAAUCGCAUUCCGACCCCAAUAUCAAAAUUUCCACUUCUGGUCGAAUUUUCUCAAAAACCUUCAAAUUUCUAUAUUCAGCCAAAUGACUUCAAAAUGACCUCCGGACAUCCGAAUUCACUUCCGAUCGCGCUCCCAACUCCAAAAUCACCAUACGGAGCUAUUCCCAGACUCGAAAUCCCAAACGGACAUCUAUAACACUGAAAUGCCUUCCAACCCAAAUUUAUGAAAUUCUUCUAAAAUACUAACUUCCACAAUAUACGCCGAAAUGCUCACGGGUUAUCCAAAACCAAAUCCGGACAUACUCCCAAGUCCAAAAUCAUCAUACGAACAUGCUGGAACUUUCAGAUCUUGAUUCCGAGGUCGUUUACUCAAAAUUCCAAUCUUAGCCAUUUUUUCAACUUAAGGCAACCGCAAAUGAAAAUUUUCUUUCCAAUUUGAUUCCGAAUUUCCCGAAAUUCAACUCUGACCAUACGCACAAGUCAAUAUACUUGAAAUGAAGCUAUUCAUGACUUCCAACUGUUGAACGACGCUCUAGAGAUCAAAACGACCGGUUGGGUCGUUACAAUUGGGUAAUCACUCUUGUCACACCUCCUUUUACACCUCGAGGGUAUGUAGGAGUUUUUUCAAUUAAAGUGACAUUAUUCGAAAUGAGAUUAUUUUAUUUAAUUAUCAGAGUCGCCACUUGGAAUUUUUAUGGUGUCCCAAAUCACCGGUUUAUUUUAAAGAUCCCAAAUCGAGGAAAUUCGACUUUUAUUUUAAAGUCCGCGAACCAAAAAUUCUAGAUAAUGAAUUAUGUUAACCCGGGAGAAAGUGUUUGGUAUUUUCGGGUUCCGUAGUUCAAGCAUAUUCACUUAAACUAUUAAAUUUAUCCUAUUAUCCGAUUUAUUACACGUUUUAACCUAUUAUGCAUUUUUAACUUAUUAAACACUUUUAAUUAUUUUAAAACGUUUUUAGAAAGAUUCAAUGUUAUUUAAAACAUGCCUUGAACCACGCCACAUGAAAUACCCCCGCGGUUCGUUACACGUUCUAUUUAACAUUGUUAAGAAUUGAAAUUGGGUCACAUGAAAUGUAUACCCGAAUUUGGUAAUAAAAAACUCAAUUUAAAGAAUGCGCCUAAAGCAACUAUGAAGGUUCAAAUUAAUAAUAAAGUUUGUGAGGGACAUGAAAAAUUCAAUUGAUGGCACACCUCGAUUUUAAAGGGUUGGUAAUAAUUAUAUGAGGGCCAUUGGUUAUUUACUGAAAAUGGCACACCUCAAGUUUAUUUUCUUCAAAGGAUUUCUUGGUCUAGUCUUAUGAGGGCCAUAGGAGAUUUAAUUAAAUGGCUCUCCUCAAUCUAUUUAUAAAGGGUAGCAUUGCAUUUACUAAGGUGAAUUAAGGAUGUUUGAUUUUUAUCUAAAUUAAAAGCUUGAAUUGGAAUUACUAAUCGCGGAAGGCACUAAACAACAUAAUUGGUAAUUAAAUACUUGAGGGAAUUUCUGGGAUUAAUAUAGGCCUAAACUUGUCAAAUCGGGUGGAAUUUUCACCCUGUAGCCUUUAAAUUUAACGAGCUGGAGUAAAGAAUCCAGCAUGGGUCAAGAUUGACCCCAAAACAAACCAUAAGAACACCAUGAAACAAUUUUGAGUUGGACUUUAACGGGUCAACAGAUAUGGGCCAACGUUGGCCUAAUAACCUUAAACAAAACAAACUUCAACAUGGAGGCCCUCUUAGGCUUAAUUUUCCCUCCCCCUUAACCCACUUUCAGCAAAAAUAAUACAGCAGCUCGAACAUAAAAAAUACACUAGUAUCCAGAUUACAAGCUGAUAUUAACAACAAUGGCAUGGAGAUUUUACACAUACAACCAAUCUUAACCAAAAAUGAAAUGAUUCAGCACUCAUUAAACACAAACUAUCCUUAAAUGAUAUUAAUAUUUAGCAUAAUUUAAUCAAAAACCUUUGUCCACACUAGCAUACAAAGUUAACACACAAUUCGGGUCCUAACACAGUCCAUAAACACCAUGAUCUCCUAGUGUAGCAAGACUAUUACACCUCAUAAUUAGUAAUAAACCAAGUCUAUUCUUCCAACCUACAUUAUGACUAAGUGAUACACAACAUCAGUUCCUACUAUAUAUGUUAAAACAAAUAAGGUAAACUACAAGCCAAAUGAAAGAACAAAAAUGCAUUAAGAAGUAAUAUCCAAGAAUCUCCAAUCUUCAAAUCAAACAAGUCACUCUCACAUUUUCAGAGCUUGAGAUGUGUACCUGAAUACAGUAAAAUAAACAAGAAAAUAGCCUGAAGUUAGGAGAAAACAACAUCAGUAUAUCAGCAACACCAGCACAGCCAACAA